GAUGAACGCUGGCGGUAUGCCUAACACAUGCAAGUCGUACGAGAGUUUUUAACUCUAGUGGCGGACGGGUGAGUAACACGUGAGAAUUUGCCUUUAGGAGGGGAUAACAAUUGGAAACGAAUGCUAAUACCCCAUAUGCUUUUGAGUGAAAUGGAUUUUAUCCGCCUAGAGAGAAGCUCGCGGCUGAUUAGCUUGUUGGUAAGGUAAGAGCUUACCAAGGCGACGAUCAGUAUCUGGUUUGAGAGGACGAUCAGACACACUGGAACUGAGACACGGUCCAGACUCCUACGGGAGGCAGCAGUGGGAAUCUUGCGCAAUGGGCGAAAGCCUGACGCAGCCAUGCCGCGUGAACGAUGAAGGCCUUAGGGUUGUAAGUUCUUUACCGUGACGAUGAUGACGGUAACGGGAGAAUAAGCUCCGGCUAACUUCGUGCCAGCAGCCGC
Molecule: ribosomal RNA, 443 nt
Filed under: uncultured bacterium
Lineage: Bacteria
Description: bacterial SSU rRNA
Rfam family: Bacterial small subunit ribosomal RNA
Source: RNAcentral